GACGAACGCUGGCGGCGUGCUUAACACAUGCAAGUCGAACGGAAAGGCCCUGCUUUUGUGGGGUGCUCGAGUGGCGAACGGGUGAGUAACACGUGAGUAACCUGCCCUUGACUUUGGGAUAACUUCAGGAAACUGGGGCUAAUACCGGAUAGGAGCUCCUGCUGCAUGGUGGGGGUUGGAAAGUUUCGGCGGUUGGGGAUGGACUCGCGGCUUAUCAGCUUGUUGGUGGGGUAGUGGCUUACCAAGGCUUUGACGGGUAGCCGGCCUGAGAGGGUGACCGGCCACAUUGGAACUGAGAUACGGCCCAGACUCCUACGGGAGGCAGCAGUGGGGAAUAUUGCACAAUGGGCGGAAGCCUGAUGCAGCAACGCCGCGUGCGGGAUGACGGCCUUCGGGUUGUAAACCGCUUUCGCCUGUGACGAAGCGUGAGUGACAGUAAUGGGUAAAGAAGCACCGGCUAACUACGUG
RNAcentral lists this ribosomal RNA (468 nucleotides) under uncultured bacterium. RNAcentral's name for it is "partial 16S ribosomal RNA". It matches the Rfam family "Bacterial small subunit ribosomal RNA", at positions 28 to 507 of the family's 1533-position model. The record is from RNAcentral.